This 448-nucleotide ribosomal RNA is filed under the name Leptobrachium abbotti (lowland litter frog). RNAcentral describes it as "partial 12S rRNA". It matches the Rfam family "Bacterial small subunit ribosomal RNA", at positions 28 to 826 of the family's 1533-position model. Lineage: Eukaryota; Metazoa; Chordata; Amphibia; Anura; Megophryidae. The record is from RNAcentral.
CUUUCAGUUAUAAUUAAACUUACACAUGCAAGUCUCCCACUCCGGUGAAAAUGCCCUUUAUCUUCCAACUAUUAGAAGAAAAGGAGUUGGUAUCAGGCUCAAAUAGCCCAAGACACCUAGCUUUGCCACACCUCCAAAGGAAUUCAGCAGUGAUUAACAUUAAAUAUUAGCGCAAGCUAAAUUUAGUUAUAAUUAAUAAGGUCGGUUAAUUUCGUGCCAGCCACCGCGGUUAUACGAAAGACUUAAACUGAAAGCCACCGGCGUAAAGCGUGAUUAAGGGUAAAAUUUUCUAAAGCUAAACUCUGAUUUAAUUGUUAUAAGUUCUUAUCAGUUGGAAACUCAUUCACGAAAGUAGCUUUAUUAUUCCUGACUUCACAGUAGCCAAGACCCAAACUGGGAUUAGAUACCCCACUAUGCUUGGCCCUAAACUUUGAUAAUUACAUUUCUC